Molecule: ribosomal RNA, 460 nt
Filed under: uncultured bacterium
Lineage: Bacteria
Description: partial 16S ribosomal RNA
Rfam family: Bacterial small subunit ribosomal RNA
Source: RNAcentral
CCUACGGGUGGCAGCAGUGAGGAAUAUUGGUCAAUGGGCGCGAGCCUGAACCAGCCAAGUAGCGUGAAGGAUGACUGCCCUACGGGUUGUAAACUUCUUUUAUAAAGGAAUAAAGUGAGGCACGUGUGCCUUAUUGUAUGUACUUUAUGAAUAAGGAUCGGCUAACUCCGUGCCAGCAGCCGCGGUAAUACGGAGGAUCCGAGCGUUAUCCGGAUUUAGUGGGUUUAAAGGGAGCGUAGAUGGGUUGUUAAGUCAGUUGUGAAAUUUUGCGGCUCAACCGUAAGAUUGCAGUUGAUACUGGCAGCCUUGAGUACAGGAGAGGUAGGCGGAAUUCGUGGUGUAGCGGUGAAAUGCUUAGAUAUCACGAAGAACUCCGAUUGCGAAGGCAGCUUACUGGACUGCAACUGACGCUGAGGCUCGAAAGUGUGGGUAUCAAACAGGAUUAGAUACCCGAGUAGUC